CGCCUACGGGGGGCAGCAGUAGGGAAUCUUCCACAAUGGUCGGGAGACUGAACCAGCCAAGCCGCGUGAGGGAUGAAGGUACAGAGUAUCGUAAACCUCUUUUGUCAGGGAACAAAGGCGGGGACGUGUCCCCGGAUGAGUGUACCUGAAGAAAAAGCAUCGGCUAACUCCGUGCCAGCAGCCGCGGUAAUACGGAGGAUGCGAGCGUUAUCCGGAUUUAUUGGGGUUAAAGGGUGCGCAGGCGGUCUGUUAAGUCAGCGGUCAAAGCCCGGGGCUCAACCCCGGCCCGCCGUUGAAACCGGCCG
This 305-nucleotide ribosomal RNA is filed under the name uncultured bacterium. RNAcentral's name for it is "bacterial SSU rRNA". It matches the Rfam family "Bacterial small subunit ribosomal RNA", at positions 336 to 639 of the family's 1533-position model. The record is from RNAcentral.